CCCGCCGGGCCCGGACCACGCUAGCGGCUGCCGAGCCCGGGCUCCCGGCAGGAGGGCGCCCGGGCCCAGUACUCGAGUGCCCGGGUCUCUAGAGGGCUACGGAGCGCGCCCGCCUCCAGGACCGGGUAUUUGACUGAGCAGCCUGCGAAGUAGAGCGCGGAAGGUCCGCAGUGGGUGCGGCGCGGCGCAGUCGGGGCUAGCCCACUUGCUCUGCGUAGCUUUUCUAGAGUGUCGGGGGUCUCGAGGGGCCGGGGUUGGACCGCAGCUGCGCGACUCCGAGGGACUCUUCUCUGCAGAUCCAGGCCCGCACCUAUCUGCAGAUGCCUUUAUCUCUUCCAGUGAUCCACAGACUUGAUGAAAUCAGUUCGGGCCUCAAAGAGAAGAUGAAUUGUAAGCAAAAUUCAAAAAUCACGACUCUGGGGAAAGAGCCCCCCAAAUCCAGAGCCCUGUAGUACCAGCCCUGCUAGUUCAACUGAAGGCUGCAGCAUGUGAGUUAGACUUAGGAAAGUUCAUUACUGUGCCGGGCAGAUCGCUGCCACUGUGUGGGAGGCUUUGCUUACUGAAGACCUUACUUUAAGAUUAAUUACCCAUAGGCCUUGAUCUAAAUGGGCAAACACAGCAAGGAAAAUAUCAGAAGCACAAGCCAGAGCUGUGGUCCUCCUUACUCAUCCACUCAUCCAUCAAGAUAAGUCAGCAUCGUCCCCAUUAUCCACUACUUCCUCCCAACCGCGCUUUCUAAGCUGCUGAGGAUGGAAGAGAAAGCAGACUUGA
Molecule: long non-coding RNA, 771 nt
Organism: Rattus rattus (black rat)
Lineage: Eukaryota; Metazoa; Chordata; Mammalia; Rodentia; Muridae
Exons: 3
Source: RefSeq, a predicted model, not a curated record